RNAcentral lists this non-coding RNA (25 nucleotides) under Mus musculus (house mouse). The record is from RNAcentral. Lineage: Eukaryota; Metazoa; Chordata; Mammalia; Rodentia; Muridae.
UAUUGAUUGCACAUAGUCUGAAGGA